AAUAUAUUUCCACCAUCCUCUACUAUAUAUAUAUAGUAUAUAUAUAGUAGAGGAUGGGGGAAAUAUAGU
Non-coding RNA from Pelobates cultripes (western spadefoot toad), 69 nucleotides. Lineage: Eukaryota; Metazoa; Chordata; Amphibia; Anura; Pelobatidae. The record is from the annotation of a GenBank genome assembly.